Molecule: ribosomal RNA, 253 nt
Filed under: uncultured bacterium
Lineage: Bacteria
Description: partial 16S ribosomal RNA
Rfam family: Bacterial small subunit ribosomal RNA
Source: RNAcentral
UACAGAGGUCCCAAGCGUUGUUCGGAUUCACUGGGCGUAAAGGGUGCGUAGGCGGUCGGGUAAGUCUGAUGUGAAAUCUCACAGCUUAACUGUGAAACUGCAUUGGAUACUACCCGGCUCGAGGAAUGGAGGGGAGACUGGAAUACUUGGUGUAGCAGUGAAAUGCGUAGAUAUCAAGUGGAACACCAGUGGCGAAGGCGAGUCUCUGGACAUUUCCUGACGCUGAGGCACGAAAGCCAGGGGAGCAAACGGG